This 241-nucleotide non-coding RNA is filed under the name Tissierella praeacuta. Its description in RNAcentral is "T-box sequence". It matches the Rfam family "T-box leader". From Rfam's summary of the family: Uncharged tRNA acts as the effector for transcription antitermination of genes in the T-box leader family. T-boxes are found upstream of many aminoacyl-tRNA synthetase genes and some amino acid biosynthetic genes usually in Gram-positive bacteria. The anticodon of a specific tRNA base pairs to a specifier sequence within the T-box motif, and the NCCA acceptor tail of the tRNA base pairs to a conserved bulge in the T-box antiterminator hairpin. Lineage: Bacteria; Bacillati; Bacillota; Tissierellia; Tissierellales; Tissierellaceae. The record is from RNAcentral.
AAAAAUGCUUUGAUGGAGAGAAAGAUAUCUAAACUUAUUUACAGAGAGUUGGAAAAGGUGAAAACCAACAUUAAGAAGAUAUGUAAUAUUCACUCCUAAGCUGAUUCGUUAAACCCAUUCUGCAAGUAGACGAAUCCGAAAACCCAUCGUUAUAGGGGAUAGGACUGUUAGGUCUGAUUGAGUGAUGACUUUUUGUCAUAAUUAGGGUGGUACCACGGAGAUAAAAUCUUUCGUCCCUAUA